CAGUGGAAAUAAAUGCAGUUUUGAAUUCUGGAAAAAAUUCACGCACAAGUACCAUUGUACAUUUCUGGAUUUGGGAUUUCCCAAAGUAACAGUUGGCAUACUAAGGUGUGAAAGUUUGGAAGGGUAUACUGCCACUGCAAUUCAGAUAGACAAACCCAGUAUUUCUACUUCAGGUUUAUAACGUAUGGCACAGACUCUGACACGUCAUUUUUGACAAACUCAACCACGCGCAACCUGCAAACAGCAAUUUAAUGCUGCCUCAUUUCAGGAGGUAAGUGCAUCUUCACUUAUGCCAUGUUUAAUUUCUUUGCAUAGCUAUUCAGUCUUUUCCAAGUAGGACAUUACGAAGAGACCUUCCUCCAAACAUCUUGACACUCAAUUAAACUAACUAUCCUUGUUUGAAACAACUCUUGUCUAGACAUGAAAGCAGUUUAUUUUGUCUGAGUUCCAUACCAGAGAUGGUUUUGCCUGGAUUUUAUUUUCAUUUAUUCAGAAAUCCGACGCUCUAGCUCCAGACUACUUCUAAGUAUAGACAUAUGUACUUCAAUCUUGGAAGUGGUAUUUUAUUGGAUUUUUCCUGCAACCGUCUUACAUUGAGUGAGUGAAAGUACGACAGGGUGAAACCACUACCUUUGCAAAAAAUUCCUACAAAACCAAAGUUCUCAUUUUGGGUGAGUUAUUUCAUGCUGUAAAUAACAAAAAGCUAGACUAUUGUAAUCCUCAGCAUGAGACUCAAAUUUCCAAUUCUCACAUUUUGCAUUUUUUUCCAAUUUUGGGGUUGAUUAAGUGAAACAAACUACAGUUUUAAUUGAAAUCUGUUAUUUCAUGAACAUCAGAAAAACUUUAAGCUACCACAAACAAAUGAUCCUUAGUUUAUUCCAACUAACCCAAACACCUUGAGGGGAAACUUUUACAUGUAAAAGAACAAUAAUAAAUCUAUAAAGCUCCUAAAGUAAACUGAAUGAAAAUUAAGUUUGGCUCUUUUUUUAUGCAUAAAAAAGUGUGGUACACAAAAUGCACGAUUUUAUUUCUUUAUGGCCAAACUGAUCUCGCCCUUAUUUUUCCCUAGAACCCACUUUGCCUGAAGGACCGUUAGUAGAUCAAGAUGAACUGGAUAACAAAGAUAAAAGAGGAUAUCAGAACGUUUAUAAGGUCAUGCCCCACUGGUGAUGAUUGGCCAAACAGAGUUGUUGCAAUUGUCAAUGGCCAAGUGUAUCAAAGUGAAAUUAGUAAUGACCGAGCAAUUCCUGUCAUUCAUGCAGAGAGGUUGGCUUUGGAAUCACUGAGAAAACACGCUGAAAAGGAUGAGGAGAUUGUCAUGUACAUCAGUCAGUCUCCAUGUCGCACAUGCGCAGAAAAAAUAUUAGAAUUCCAAGAAGAGCACAAGGUCAAAUUCAUUAUCAAAUUUGCUAAUGUGUAUUACGGUCAGGACAGAGAUAACAGCAUUGGGUUGGAAAGACUGAACCGAAACAGAAGCAUUACUUUGCAUGCACUACAGGGGAAUGAUUGGAAAGCUAUCACCAAACAGAUUGCAGAGUUUCAUGGGGAAGGAGACUGGCAAAAUGCUGGAAAAGAUCCUAAGGCACGAACAUUUGCAUGCAUGGAAACCACGUUUUUGAAAGAUUGCUUCUAAUGAUGAUGAUGAUGACGACACACGUGAUUGGCAAACCGAGUUAUCACAAAUUGUAAAGCAUAAUCAAAGCAGCCCUCGGCUGUCUACUUUUCUCCAGGCACAUGGGUUACACAACUUAGAAACUGAACUUAAGUUGAUCGUGCAAACUCAUAAACAGGAAGAUUGGGAAAACACAACCGGGGUACUUGAGAAUCAUAUCGAAGAUCAGUGGAAAUACAGGUUGAAACUUACUCUGAUGAAGAAUGAACUAGAUCACGCAGAGGUAGCAGAGAUAAAGAAGUUGGCCUAUCAAAUGGACUGGGAAAGUAAAUUAAGAGAAAAUCUCCAGAACCACAGGAAACUUCACCUGUUCAAUGUAGCCAUGCAGUUGCUUCUGUUCUCAAGCAAUGACAAAUUUCGCCAAGUGCUGAGACAACUGUCCCCUCCUGACAGGAAGGGAUACUCUUGGUUGAUGGAAGUACUUCAUGAGUUUGGCAUUGAGGAGGGCAAACCAGAAUGGUUAGGGAAGCGGAUUGUUGCUGACUACGCCACAGCACAAGAGCUGAACACCAUUCUGACAGACAGGGGCAGACUGUUCCGAAAUGCAGCUAAUAAUAUUGCUUAAGACAUCAAUAUCCUCCACGGUCAAAGAAACAAAGAGUAACGACACUUGUGAUGCGAUUAGCUCAACAUGUACACACGCAGGUGUAGUUAGUUGUCCCUACCAUGGACCAUGCCACAGGAGCCCCAGUCCCCAACACUACAGAUCUAAUGAGUGAUCAGUGGGUACCAUUUAAACUUUUGCAAGAGGUCAGUAUGUACAACAGUACAUCACGACCUUAAAAAUGUAUUCAUUGCCCUUUUCGCACAGUUUCACUAGGGUAGUCAGGUCCACUUCUCAAAUUCCAGUUUUCUCCUUUUUAAAAAAUUAUUUGGUUGGCAAUCUCACUGGAAUGCAAGUAAGGCUUGUGUAAAUUAUUUAAUAACCUCUAACAUUAAAUCCAAAUCUACCAUUUGACACAACUUUUGCAUGACACGGAGUGACGCAAGCUUUGUUACAUUCGCAACUGUGCGUGCGUACAGACACGAUCACCUUUCCUGUGAAUUAUACAUUGAACAGAAAGAUGUUCAUGAACAAAGAUGUAAUUUUUGUUUUCAUGAAUUGACGUUAACCUUUGCUAAUUAAUUUAUGCUAUCAACCCGUUUUUGUACUAAUUACCUGGGUUAAGAGAAUGUUUACUCAAAGAAUCAUUUCAGGAAUAUUUUUUAUGUGAAUUUGUCACAAAUUAGUUCCUUUGACAGUUUUUAAAACGGAGAACCUUCUUUGGCAAUGAUCCCGAAAAACCUGUUUUCGUGAGAAGCCACAUUAGCGUCAUUUUUUUUUAAAACGGCGACAAUAAGGGUCAAAUGUAUUGCCUCUUCUCUACAAACUGUGCCAAAUGUUUCAAAUAAAAACUCUUUAUUGUUUACAUAUUUUAAGAUUAAAUUUGAGAUUAAUUUUUACUUAUUUUCUGCUUGAAAACUUCAGAACAAUGUAAAAAUAUUGAUAACACUUUGCUGACUUUUAUCGGUAAAUGCACCAGACAGACACUACACAGGUGGGCCCAUGAAGCAUGUGCCAGCCACUUGUGGUUUGGGUAUUUGAAUGCGAGACAAAAAUGGAUGACAACAGCAUUACUUUCAAGCUGCAUCAAUCAUAUGGGAUUUCAUAUGGGAUUAAGUUACCGCAAGCUUUCCACCAUUCUAUCAAUCAUCUAUGGGCAAAUACAUGUGUGUCUGCAAUAUUGUGUGAAUCAGAUCUCCACCACACAACCAGUUUUUAUUCUGCUUAAGAUUUUAUAAAUGUUCUUUUUUAAUUGAUAAAAUAGUCAUGGAUUAUUACCAUAAAAAAGCACCCCUGGUUGUUGACUUCAAGUUGUUGGGAUAGCGUGGAAAAGGGUUCUUAACGAAAGAAUAUUUUUGUUCAGGUCCAAACUAACAAUCUUUUCAUAUUUCUACACUUGUUUGUCUUCUUGAUAAAAACAUCCAGUCGAGUUUUAUAUUUUGUUUUUCAUUCACAAAGUAGUAAAUUUCCACUUUCAGCUUAUGUAAAUACCUAUGGGAACACAUGUAAUUUUAUGCCUUUUGGUUUGGUUUGGUUUGGUUUAUUUCCAUACAUCACAAUUAGAACAUAAAAGAAACAAUGUUAUUACAGAAUGAAAGAAGAGAUUAUGAAUGGCAGAUACCAGACAGAAAGCAAACGCUUGUUCAUGGCCUGGUUCCUUAUUUGUUAUAAUGAUAUCCAUAUGGGGCUGUAAUUACAAGACAGAGAAGAGAGAGUAAAAAGAGUUACAGUUGAAGGUACAGCUGAACAUUAGAAUUAUGCCAAGAUUUUCUUUGUCAUAACAUCUUAGGAAUGGUACAAUUCUAGACAUGACUGCUUCAUUAUUAAGGUUAUGAAUAAACAGUAGAAAUGUGAUAUACAUACACUAAAUACAUGUACAGUACAGGGUAAAUAAACAAUAUUACACUGGAAAGGAGGAUAUUCUUCAAGUACUUUUUAAAACCAUGUAUACUUCUAAAGUAUGGUAUUGGGUGAUUUUAUUCCAGAGCAAAGGGCCUUGAUGUCGAACUGUUUUAAGAAACAUUGUAGUUCUUGCCUUUGCAAUGUGAAACUUGGCUGCUCACCUAGUGAGUGGACUUCAGUAUUCCUCAGAAACAAUGAUUUGGUUUCGGGGGAGAAGAUUGUUUUCAAAUUUAAACAUUUUAGCUAGCAUUUUUGCUCGCAGUAGAUGCAUACUUCUCAAGAUUUAGCAAUUAAGUUUAAAACAUAAAUGUGAAAAAAUUACAAAAUUUAGAAGGUUUGAACUGUAGUAGCCUAUGUUACAUAAUUUUAUGCUCAAAGUUUUUGGUGAACGGUAUUAUGUUUUUUCUUUGAUAUGGAAACAUACAUUUUCAAUGGAUGUAUUCUGUUCUGCGUUUUAUCUUGACAUAAUGUUGGAAUACAGCAACCAAACUGUUUUACUUGAAGCUCCUUGAAGUGAUUGAACAUUUUAAAUCAGAAAUCAUGCAGCUUUCAAAAUAAAACCUUCCUCUUUUACUUGAAAACC
This 4701-nucleotide long non-coding RNA is filed under the name Acanthaster planci (crown-of-thorns starfish). RNAcentral describes it as "uncharacterized LOC110974338". Lineage: Eukaryota; Metazoa; Echinodermata; Asteroidea; Valvatida; Acanthasteridae. The record is from RNAcentral.